AGGGUUUGAUUCUGGCUCAGGACGAACGCUGGCGGCGUGCGUAACACAUGCAAGUCGAACGAGAGAGGGAGAGAAGCUUGCUUUUCUUACAAUCGAGUGGCAAACGGGUGAGUAACGCGUAAACAACCUGCCCCGCAGAUGGGGACAACAGCUGGAAACGGCUGCUAAUACCGAAUACGCUCCUCUUAGCGCAUGGUAAGAAGAAGAAAGGGUGGCCUCUGGAACAAGCUACCGCUGUGGGAGGGGUUUGCGUCUGAUUAGCUGGUUGGAGGGGUAACGGCCCACCAAGGCGACGAUCAGUAGCCGGUCUGAGAGGAUGAACGGCCACAUUGGAACUGAGACACGGUCCAG
This 351-nucleotide ribosomal RNA is filed under the name uncultured bacterium. Its description in RNAcentral is "bacterial SSU rRNA". It matches the Rfam family "Bacterial small subunit ribosomal RNA", at positions 8 to 334 of the family's 1533-position model. The record is from RNAcentral.